Molecule: ribosomal RNA, 489 nt
Filed under: uncultured soil bacterium
Lineage: Bacteria
Description: bacterial SSU rRNA
Rfam family: Bacterial small subunit ribosomal RNA
Source: RNAcentral
AGAUUGAACGCUAGCGGGAUGCUUUACACAUGCAAGUCGAACGGCAGCACGGGAGCAAUCCUGGUGGCGAGUGGCGAACGGGUGAGUAAUAUAUCGGAACGUGCCCAGUCGUGGGGGAUAACGUAGAGAAAUUUACGCUAAUACCGCAUACGAUCCAAGGAUGAAAGCGGGGGGACCGUAAGGCCUCGCGCGACUGGAGCGGCUGAUAUCAGAUUAGCUUGUUGGUGAGGUAAAAGCUCACCAAGGCGACGAUCUGUAGCUGGUUUGAGAGAACGACCAGCCACACUGGGACUGAGACACGGCCCAGACUCCGUACGGGAGGCAGCAGUGGGGAAUUUUGGACAAUGGGCGAAAGCCUGAUCCAGCAAUGCCGCGUGCAGGAAGAAGGCCGUUUACGGUGUUAAACGUGUCUUUUGUACGGUAGACGAAAAGGUCUGACCCUUAAGUACCGGCGACCCGUAGUCGACGGUACCGUAAGAAGUAACGACC